AGAUGACUCACUUAACCUCUCUGGGUCUCAGAAUCUUCAUCUACAAAGAGACCCAAGGAACCCUCAGCAUUAAGGCCCAGGUAAACUGAUACCUGGAGCUUCUUGGCACAAUGCCUGGCACAGGGUAGACUGUCUUUGGGUUCCAUAUAGACUGUUUACCUUGGGUUUGUAUCUUUUCCUUCUUCCCAUCCAAAUGGACUUUGGAAUCCCUGCAUAUGAAUUCACAUUGUGGCUCAGCAGGUUAAGAACCUGACAUUGUGUCUGUGAAGAUGCGGGUUCGAUCCCUGGCCUUACUUAGUGGGUUACGGAUCCAUGUUGCCACAAGCUAUGGCAUAAGCUGCAGAUGCAGCUUGGAUCCCGUGUUGCGGUGACUGUGGUAUAGGCCUGUAGCUGCAGCUCUGAUUCAACCCCUGGCCCAGGAAUUUCCAUAUGCCUUGGGUUUGGCCAUAAAAAGAAGAAAAGAAAAGAAAAGAAAAAAAGAAUCCUUGAGUAUUUGGAUUUUAUAGAUGCAUUUGGUAGUAAUGUGCUUCAUUUUUCUUUUCACUGAAGAAAAAUACACAUUUGUUGAAUUGAAGGCCAUUUUGUGAUACUUUGUUUAGGCAGGAUUUAGCUGGAAUGUGACCUUUUUGAGUCAUGAUGAACAACUUCUGAUGAGAUGUCUGAUUCCUGAGGGAGUGGAUAGUGUUUGAAGAUUUGGCCAAUUGCUAAUGUGAUGGCCAGGUGGUAAGAGGCCAGUUCCUGGUGUGAGGACCAAUUUCUGCCUCAAAAAAAAAGGGCAUCUAUCAUGCAUUGAACAUCUAUGAUGGGGCCAACUCAGUGAAGGGAAUGUAUGAAUUAUAUAUGCUUUAAAGUACUCCAUGAUAUCUGAGUUAGUUCUAGGAGUUCCCACUGUGGCUCAGUGGGUUAAAAACCUGAUGUAGUCUCCUUGAGGGUGUGGGUUCAAUCCCUGGCCUCGCUUGUGGGUUAAGAAUCGGGUGUUGCUCUGGCUGUGGUGUAGGUCCCAGCUACAGCUCCGAUUCAAUCCCUGGCCUGGGAAUUUCCAUAUGUGGCCAUAAAAAGUAAAAAGAGUCAGUUUUAACAUCAUAUUACUGGGUUCACAUAUCAUUUUGGCCACUCUAAGCAUAUGGCUUAAUGACUUCGUGUUUCUGUGAUAAUAGAAUUUCUGUCAUAGGGUUUGGAGGAGGAAUUAUCUCCUGCCACACAGUAAGUGUCCAUUUAUGUUUAGCUGUCCUAUUUUUAUCCAUAUCCUGCAGAUAGGGAAACUGAGGCUUGGGAAAUGACAGUGAGAGAGUCUUCCUCUUCCAAGAGCUUUCCUCUGGCACAGAGGGUUAGGGAUUGGGUGUUGUCACUGCAGAAGCUUGAGUUACUGCUGUGGCAUGGAUUUUAUCCCUGAUCUGGGAGCUUCCGUAUGCCAUGGGCGUGAAAAGAAAACAAGAGGAGAAAAACUUAAGUUUAUGUUUUUGCCUGAGAUACAAUUUUGGAUCUCAGAUUGUCCUAUACUCAUUUUCCAUUCAGGCCAGCCUUUUUCAAUGUCAGGACAUAAGCUUCUGACUUGGGAGUGAUAGGCCUAUGGGGGGCAUCUUGGAUACACCAUGGCACUAAGGCAUCAGGUUAAUGGCAGGGCAUGGUGGAUGUCUCCUGAGUGUCGACUGCUGAGACCCCCACAGAAGUUCUGCCCUGCUGGGAGGAAGGGCUGAGUUCAGAGAGUCUCCAGAGGUUUUCUUGGCAGAGACUGAGUCUAACUGAUGCCAGUUGGCUGUAUGAAAAGUGAGUUAGGACCAUGCACUGCUGGAUAACAGUCUCCAUGGUGAGAGUGGCUUUCAGCUCUUACACAUUAUCUCUUUCCAUCUUGAGAGCCACACCAGGAGGUGUGCAUGUUGCAUUUUACUUCUCUGAGGUCAGAGAAGUUCAUAUCUUGCCUUAUAACACAUGUUGGCCAAGGCCAGGUUUGAACUUGGGUUUGUUGGGCUCUUUAGGCUAUGUUCUUCCUCCACCCAUCCACUCUUCUCCACAAGGAUAGGACUCCAGGGCCAGCAGAGGGCCAGGGGAGGAUCCUGGCAAGGCAUUAGGGAGCAGUUGGCAACAGUAACAUGUUCUCAGUAACAUGGUCCCAGUAAGCAGUUAGGCUGAGCAAAGCUCCGUAGGAAGGAGGUGAGAUUGGCCGUGGUAUAGAGGGUCUCUAAUAAGAGCUCCUCAGCCAGGAAGUCAAGGAAAUUUGGAUGUAGGCUAGAUGGACAACCACGAGCACUCUGAGAUGCCUCUGCCCUCAGGAAGCACUGCUCAUAUGAAUGACAGUGGGAAAGUAUCCGUAAACCUGGUGGUGACUCCUACCUCAGAAAGCUGGGGCGGAUGGGUGGCUCUCACUCUCCCUGACCCUGUGGCCAGGAUGAUCCUCCUGGUCAUCUAUAUUUGGGUUCCAUUUCAAUGCAAAGUCCUGGCCUUUACCCACCCUGAGUCAGGGCAUCUCAUAUUUGGGGCAGAGGAGUGGGCAGUGAUCUUGAGAUGCUGGUGAAAGCUGUGGACUGCCUUCCCAGGGAAAUUUACUUCAGAAAUGUUGCAUGCAUUUCUGAGGUAUCUAGGUCUCAUGAGAGUUCUCCAUCAAUUAUAGAAAAGUCAGUAGAUCUGGUUAUAAGCCUUGCCUUAAACUAGUGGGUUGAUCCAAAGUCAAUGGGUACAAAAAAUUUUAUGUGUGGCAAUAAAUAAAUAUAAAAACAGCUAAAAUAGCUCACACUAUACUUAAGAAAUGUGCAGUAUCUAUGGGGGAAACUUCACGAUCUUACUGAGAGCAAAAAUGAAUCUAUAAGUAAGUGGAAAGAAUGUAUUCUUGGAUGGUAAGAGUCAAUGUUCAAAAGUAUAAAUUUUUCCACUAUUAAUUAGUACAUUCUUCCAUAUGCUGCAGGUGUGGCCCUAAAAAGCAACAAACAACCAAUGUUGAUAUCUAGCGAAAGGAAAAAACUCAGUGCUUUCCUAUGCCUUCUAUGAAAGGAAUUAUAGAUGAUACAAUAUUUAAUAAUAAUCAAUGGAGUGAUAAAAAGGCUAAAAGGAAAUAAAAAAGAAGGAAGAUUGAUGUAUUUUACUUAAUUUUUUUAAAGCUUGCACAGUAAAUUUACCACAGGGAAGUCAAAAGACAAAGUAGCCUCAAUGUGAGAGGCAGAGAUUAUAAGCAGAGUGUCAACAAAUGAAUGAGAAAAUAAUAAAACAAUCUAAUGAGCAAAGAGCAUCAACAGGCAGUUCAUAAUACACAAUAAAGAAAUGAAAAAUUUCAAAUAAACAUAUGGAAAACAUGCUCAUUCUUCCCCUGAUUAAAGAAGGGUAAACUAAAACAUUGCUGAUGUAUCUUAACUUACCUGUCAGAUUAGCAGAUUGGCAAAGAUAUAAAAAGUGUCAAGGGUGCACGGAAACAGACAUUUGCAUACAUAGUUUGGAAAAAGCAAUGGCAGUCUUGUCCAGGAUAAUUUGACUGCUGUUAUGAACACUGUAAAUUUAUCUGUACUUUGACCUGUGUUGCCACAUUUAGAAAUUUAUCCUAUAGGUAUCCUCAAAGACCCAAAGAUACACGUCAAAAGAGAUUAAUUGCCCAUUGUUUGUAUUAGUAAAUAACAGGAAAGACCUCAGUAACCAUCAUUAAGGUUUCAUUGUGUCAGUGUUUCUCAAACCUGAGUAGUGCAGCCAUUCCAUUUAAGGGACAAAGUUCUCAGAAACCCAUACUAUUGAAUUUGUUUUUAUUAUGAGGUGUCUUUAAAAUGUGGAACUAUUGAACUAAAUCUAAAACCUGAUGGGUUUAUAGUUCUUAUAAUCCUAUAAAUCAAGAAAAUGUGUAGGGUACAUACAAACAAAUACAAAACCAGUAAAAUCAAGUUAACACUAUUAAGUUUAUAAGAUGUAUAUAUUCUGCUGAAACUGAAGGGCGGUUGCUGUAUUUUUUUUUUAUUUUUUGCUUUUUAGGGCCACAUCCAUGGCAUGUGGAGGUUCCCAGGCCAGGGGUCAAAUCGAAACUACAGCUGCCAGCCUACACCACACCCACAGCAAUGCUGGAUCUGAGCCGAAUCUGCGAUCUACGCCACAGCUCACGACAGCACCGGAUCCUUGACCCACUGAGCGAGGCCAGGGAUCGAACCCACAACCUCAUGGUUCCUAGUCAGAUUCAUUAACCACUGAGCCACAAUGGGAACUUUUUUUUUUUUUUUGAUGCGUAUUAACAAUGGGGUUGUAUAGGCAUGGAUUCAGCUUUAUAUAUAGGACCCAUACUUUCAGUUCAAUAAUACAAAUGAAAAAACGACCUGCUUACAUAAAUAGGCUUUUAAAUUAUGUAAAUACAUUUAGGUUUCGCUUGUUAGUUCAGGCUGUUCAGAUCCACGACUCCUCAAAACCCUCAAAUGCCAGUUUUAAUGAGCUGUCGUUGAGAAUUCAGUGAAGCUUUCUGCAAUUUAUUUGAAGAUAAGGUUAGCAUCCUGCUUAUUGAAAUGUGUGUUAAAUAGUAAUAAAUCUAAUUAUCAUUGGAACGGAGGCCAGAAACAUUCUUCCUGGGGUAUUUACUGCUGUGUUUAUCGGUAAUGAGUCAAGGCGUGGCGCACACACGCACAAUCGCAGACUCCUGUGGACUACAUGUUUGAGUCCUGGUUUUACCUAUUCUACCGGGAAGACUCAGUUCGCCCACCACCCCAACCCUUUUCUCUUUUCAAAUUCCUUUGAAAUGUUUAUUUCGUAGACUUCCAUGAUGUCCUUUGAUCUUCAUUUGCAGUGACCCUGCAACCCCAAGGAUGGUGCUGCAUCUUCUGAUAGUUCUUGAUUAAAAGAUCGCCAUCCUGGUGUUCCCGUCAUGGCUCAGUGGUUAACGAACCCAACUAGCAUCCUUUAGGAUGCAGGUUCAAUCCCUGGCCUCGCUCAGUGGGUCAAGGAUCUGGCGUUGCCAUGAGCUGUGGUGUAGAUUGCAGACAUGGCUUAGAUCCUGUGUUGCUAUGGCUAUGCUGUAGGCCAGAAGCCAUAGCUCUGAUUGGACCCCUAGCCUGGGAACCUCCAUGUGCUGCAGGUGUGGCCCUGAAAAAAAUAAAAA
RNAcentral lists this long non-coding RNA (5053 nucleotides) under Sus scrofa (pig). RNAcentral's name for it is "lncRNA (ENSSSCG00025042448.1)". Lineage: Eukaryota; Metazoa; Chordata; Mammalia; Artiodactyla; Suidae. The record is from RNAcentral.